This 300-nucleotide ribosomal RNA is filed under the name Triticum aestivum (bread wheat). Its description in RNAcentral is "partial small subunit ribosomal RNA". Lineage: Eukaryota; Viridiplantae; Streptophyta; Magnoliopsida; Poales; Poaceae. The record is from RNAcentral.
AUGUCGUUGGCUGGGCGGCGUGUUUUAGUACGUUGCGUCCCCUCGACCAUGCCCACUUUUGCUCUCACAGCCCUUCGAGCUCCAAAGAAAUUUUAUGAAGAUAUUGACAAAUCACGAUGGCGUUUUCUUUGGGCGGGAGAUGAGGAGAUGUCCGGUGGAAAGUGCAAGGUGGGCUGGAGCAUGGUGACCACGCCGGAGCAGUAUGGUGGUCUCGGCAUCCACGAUCUUCCUCGCUUCGCCAGGGCUCUACGUCUGCGAUGGCUUUGGCAAACCUGGACGCACCCAGACAAACCCUCGUAA